CGAAAACGAAUUCUCUCUUGAGUGGAUCCUGAGUACGACGGAGCACGUGAAAUUCCGUCGGAAUCUGGGAGGACCAUCUCCUAAGGCUAAAUACUCUCUAGUGACCGAUAGUGAACCAGUACCGUGAGGGAAAGGUGAAAAGUACCCCGGAAGGGGAGUGAAAGAGAACUUGAAACCGUGUGCUUACAAGUAGUCAGAGCCCGUUAAUGGGUGAUGGCGUGCCUUUUGUAGAAUGAACCGGCGAGUUACGAUCUGAUGCAAGGUUAAGCAGAAAAUGUGGAGCCGUAGCGAAAGCGAGUCUGAAUAGGGCGAAUGAGUAUUUGGUCGUAGACCCGAAACCAGGUGAUCUACCCUUGGUCAGGUUGAAGUUCAGGUAACACUGAAUGGAGGACCGAACCGACUUACGUUGAAAAGUGAGCGGAUGAACUGAGGGUAGCGGAGAAAUUCCAAUCGAACUUGGAGAUAGCUGGUUCUCUCCGAAAUAGCUUUAGGGCUAGCCUCAAGUGAUGAUUAUUGGAGGUAGAGCACUGUUUGGACGAGGGGCCCCUCUCGGGUUACCGAAUUCAGACAAACUCCGAAUGCCAAAUAAUUUAACUUGGGAGUCAGAAUGUGGGUGAUAAGGUCCAUAUUCGAAAGGGAAACAGCCCAGACCACCAGCUAAGGUCCCAAAAUAUAUGUUAAGUGGAAAAGGAUGUGGCGUUGCCCAGACAACUAGGAUGUUGGCUUAGAAGCAGCCAUCAUUUAAAGAGUGCGUAAUAGCUCACUAGUCGAGUGACACUGCGCCGAAAAUGUACCGGGGCUAAACAUAUUACCGAAGCUGUGGAUUGUCCUUUGGACAAUGGUAGGAGAGCGUUCUAAGGGCGUUGAAGCAUGAUCGCAAGGACAUGUGGAGCGCUUAGAAGUGAGAAUGCCGGUGUGAGUAGCGAAAGACGGGUGAGAAUCCCGUCCACCGAUUGACUAAGGUUUCCAGAGGAAGGCUCGUCCGCUCUGGGUUAGUCGGGUCCUAAGCUGAGGCCGACAGGCGUAGGCGAUGGAUAACAGGUUGAUAUUCCUGUACCACCAUUAUUCGUUUUAAGCGAUGGGGGGACGCAGUAGGAUAGGCGAAGCGUGCUGUUGGAGUGCACGUCCAAGCAGUGAGAUUGAGUGUUAGGCAAAUCCGGCACUCUUAAGAUUGAGCUGUGAUGGGGAGAGGAACUUGUUCCUCGAGUCGUUGAUUUCACACUGCCGAGAAAAGCCUCUAGCUAGAAUAACGGUGCCCGUACCGCAAACCGACACAGGUAGUCAAGAUGAGAAUUCUAAGGUGAGCGAGCGAACUCUCGUUAAGGAACUCGGCAAAAUGACCCCGUAACUUCGGGAGAAGGGGUGCUCUUUGAGGUUCACGCUUCGAAGAGCCGCAGUGAAUAGGCCCAAGCGACUGUUUAUCAAAAACACAGGUCUCUGCUAAACCGUAAGGUGACGUAUAGGGGCUGACGCCUGCCCGGUGCUGGAAGGUUAAGAGGAGUGGUUAGCGCAAGCGAAGCUACGAAUCGAAGCCCCAGUAAACGGCGGCCGUAACUAUAACGGUCCUAAGGUAGCGAAAUUCCUUGUCGGGUAAGUUCCGACCCGCACGAAAGGCGUAACGAUUUGGGCACUGUCUCAACGAGAGACUCGGUGAAAUCAUAGUACCGGUGAAGAUGCCGGUUACCCGCGACAGGACGGAAAGACCCCGUGGAGCUUUACUGUAGCCUGAUAUUGAAAUUCGGUACAGUUUGUACAGGAUAGGUAGGAGCCUUAGAAGCGUGAGCGCUAGCUUACGUGGAGGCAUUGGUGGGAUACUACCCUAAUUGUAUUGGAUUUCUAACCCGCAGCACUUAUCGUGCUGGGAGACAGUGUCAGGCGGGCAGUUUGACUGGGGCGGUCGCCUCCUAAAGAGUAACGGAGGCGCUCAAAGGUUCCCUCAGAAUGGUUGGAAAUCAUUCAUAGAGUGUAAAGGCAUAAGGGAGCUUGACUGCGAGACCUACAAGUCGAGCAGGGUCGAAAGACGGACUUAGUGAUCCGGUGGUUCCGCAUGGAAGGGCCAUCGCUCAACGGAUAAAAGCUACCCCGGGGAUAACAGGCUUAUCUCCCCCAAGAGUUCACAUCGACGGGGAGGUUUGGCACCUCGAUGUCGGCUCAUCGCAUCC
Molecule: ribosomal RNA, 2162 nt
Filed under: Staphylococcus pseudintermedius
Lineage: Bacteria; Bacillati; Bacillota; Bacilli; Caryophanales; Staphylococcaceae
Description: partial 23S ribosomal RNA
Rfam family: Bacterial large subunit ribosomal RNA
Source: RNAcentral